This 232-nucleotide ribosomal RNA is filed under the name uncultured bacterium. RNAcentral describes it as "partial 16S ribosomal RNA". It matches the Rfam family "Bacterial small subunit ribosomal RNA", at positions 99 to 334 of the family's 1533-position model. The record is from RNAcentral.
CGGACGGGUGAGUAAUGUCUGGGAAACUGCCCGAUGGAGGGGGAUAACUACUGGAAACGGUAGCUAAUACCGCAUAACGUCACAAGACCAAAGAGGGGGACCUUCGGGCCUCUUGCCAUCGGAUGUGCCCAGAUGGGAUUAGCUAGUAGGUGGGGUAACGGCUCACCUAGGCGACGAUCCCUAGCUGGUCUGAGAGGAUGACCAGCCACACUGGAACUGAGACACGGUCCAG